AUGUGUAUAUAUUGUUUGUAUAUAUGUACAUGUGCAUGCAUAUGUGCAUACAUACACACACACACACACA
RNAcentral lists this microRNA precursor (70 nucleotides) under Otolemur garnettii (small-eared galago). Its description in RNAcentral is "miRNA (ENSOGAG00000024219.1)". The record is from RNAcentral. Lineage: Eukaryota; Metazoa; Chordata; Mammalia; Primates; Galagidae.